Molecule: ribosomal RNA, 2209 nt
Filed under: human gut metagenome
Description: bacterial LSU rRNA
Rfam family: Bacterial large subunit ribosomal RNA
Source: RNAcentral
GGAAUCCGCGGGGACCAUCCCGCAAGGCUAAAUACUCUCUAGUGACCGAUAGUGAACAAGUACCGAGAGGGAAAGGUGAAAAGAACCCCGGGAGGGGAGUGAAAUAGAAUACUGAAACCAUGUGCUUACAAAAAGUCAAAGUCCGUUAAUGGAUGAUGGCGUGCCUUUUGCAGAAUGAACCGGCGAGUUAAUGUUGCAUGCGAGGUUAAGUUGAAGAGACGGAGCCGUAGCGAAAGCGAGUCUUAAUAGGGCGAAUUAGUAUGUAGUAUUAGACCCGAAACCGAGUGAUCUAGCCAUGAGCAGGUUGAAGUUUAGGUAAAACUAAAUGGAGGACCGAACCGACGUACCCGGAAACGUGCGCGGAUGACUUGUGGCUAGCGGUGAAAUUCCAAACGAACUCGGAUAUAGCUGGUUCUCCCCGAAAUAGGUUUAGGCCUAGCCUUGAGAUUUAGCACUGUGGAGGUAGAGCACUGAAUAUAUGAUGGCCCCGUCUAGGGGUACUGAAUGUAAUCAAACUCCGAAUGCCAUGGUUGUAUGCUCAGGAGUCAGCGUAUGGGUGAUAACGUCCAUGCGCGAAAGGAAAAGAGUCCGGAUCGCCAGUUAAGGUCCCAAAAUUUGUACUAAGUGGGAAAGGAUGUGGAGUUGUCAAAACAGCUAGGAGGUUGGCUCAGAAGCAGCCAUCCUUUAAAGAGUGCGUAAUAGCUCACUAGUCGAGUGACACUGCGCCGAAGAUGUACCGGGGCUAAGUACAAUACCGAAACUGCGGAUUCACAUUUAUAUGUGAGUGGUAGGGGAGCGUUCCAAGUUGAGUUGAAGGUAGACCGUGAGGACUGCUGGAUUACUUGGAAGUGAGAAUGCCGGUGUGAGUAGCGCAAGAUGGGUGAGAAUCCCAUCCACCGUUUGACUAAGGGUUCCUGGGGCAGGUUCGUCCGCCCAGGGUUAGUCGGGUCCUAAGACGAGGCCGAGAGGCGUAGCCGAUGGACAACAGGUUGAUAUUCCUGUACUACCUAUAAGACUGAUGGAGUGACGGAGAAGGUUAGGAAAAGCCAGUUAUUGGAUUCUGGUCUAAGCACAAAGGCUUAUAAAUUAGGAAAUCUGUUUAUAAUUAAGCUGAAGUGUGAUGGUGAAGUCGCUUGCGACGAAAUUUUCUGACACCAUGCUUCCAAGAAAAGCUUCUAAGGUUAAUCUUAUAGGUACCCGUACUCAGAACCGACACAGGUGGUCAAGGAGAGUAUCCUAAGGUGAGCGAGAGAACUAUGGUUAAGGAACUCGGCAAAAUAACCCCGUAACUUCGGGAGAAGGGGUGGUCACUAGAUGACCGACACUAAAGACGCCCAGGCAACUGUUUACCAAAAACACAGGUCUCUGCUAAGUCGUAAGACGAUGUAUAGGGGCUGACACCUGCCCAGUGCUGGAAGGUUAAGAGGAGUGCUUAGAUAGACGCAAGUCGAUUAUUCGAAGGUACGAAUUGAAGCCCCAGUGAACGGCGGCCGUAACUAUAACGGUCCUAAGGUAGCGAAAUUCCUUGUCAGGUAAGUUCUGACCCGCACGAAAGGUGUAAUGAUCUGGGCACUGUCUCAACCAUAGACUCGGUGAAAUCUUAAUACCUGUGAAAAUGCAGGUUACCCGCAACAGGACGGAAAGACCCCAUGGAGCUUUACUGUAGCUUGAUAUUGAAGUUCGGUAUAUUAUGUAGAGAAUAGGUGGGAGACUAUGAAGUUAGGACGCUAGUUCUAAUGGAGUCACCUUUGGAAUACCACCCUUAAUGUAUUGAAUUUCUAACCUCGAUUCAUUAUCUGGAUCAGGGACAGUGUCUGGUGGGCAGUUUGACUGGGGCGGUCGCCUCCCAAAAAGUAACGGAGGCGCCCAAAGGUUCCCUCAGAAUGGUUGGACAUCAUUCAAAGAGCGUAAAGGUAUAAGGGAGCUUGACUGCGAGACCAACAAGUCGAGCAGAUACGAAAGUAGGGCUUAGUGAUCAGACGAUUCAGAAUGGAAUGGUCGUCGCUUAACGGAUAAAAGUUACCCUGGGGAUAACAGGCUGAUACCACCCAAUAGUUCACAUAGACGGUGGUGUUUGGCACCUCGAUGUCGGCUCGUCGUAUCCUGGAGGUGAAGUCGCUUCCAAGGGUUGGGCUGUUCGCCCAUUAAAACGGCACGCGAGCUGGGUUCAGAACGUCGUGAGACAGUUCGGUCCCUAUCCGUUGUGGGC